RNAcentral lists this ribosomal RNA (382 nucleotides) under uncultured eukaryote. RNAcentral describes it as "partial 18S ribosomal RNA". It matches the Rfam family "Eukaryotic small subunit ribosomal RNA", at positions 592 to 976 of the family's 1831-position model. The record is from RNAcentral.
UGUAAGCGUAUACCAAAGUUGUUGCAGUUAAAACGCUCGUAGUCGGAAUUUGGCAGUUCCGGAUGUGUGCACGUCGUGUGCGCACUUCGCGGGGAUUGCUUUUGUGGUCUUGCGUAGGAUGAGGCACUUUUAUUAGUGAACGUCCUCACGCAACCACUUUUUACUGUGAGAAAAUCAGAGUGCUCAAAGCAGGCAUUUGCCGUGAAUGUAUUAGCAUGGAAUAAUAGAAUAGGACUUGGUUCUAUUUUGUUGGUUUGUUGGGACUGAGUAAUGAUUAAGAGGAACAGUUGGGGGCAUUUGUAUUUCGGUGCUAGAGGUGAAAUUCUUAGAUUACCGAAAGACAAACUGCUGCGAAAGCGUCUGCCAAGGAUGUUUUCAUUGA